This 559-nucleotide ribosomal RNA is filed under the name Zacalantica galathea. Its description in RNAcentral is "partial 12S ribosomal RNA". The stretch from base 196 to 559 matches the Rfam family "Microsporidia small subunit ribosomal RNA", at positions 752 to 1216 of the family's 1311-position model. Lineage: Eukaryota; Metazoa; Mollusca; Gastropoda; Cycloneritida; Phenacolepadidae. The record is from RNAcentral.
AGACAAGGAAAUCUAUAAACAAAUCGGUAAAAAGGAUAGUUAUAAUAUUUCCAAGAAGUCAAAUCAAUGUAUUUAGAAGUAGAAUUCAUCAAUACUUUACCAGACUUAAGACUUCUAAGUUAGAAUCUAUGAAAUUACUAAGCAAAACCAGGAUUAGAUACCCUGCUAUUAGUAGCAUAAAUUUUUUCACCACCAGGGAAUUAUAGGGCUCCCCCUGAAACCUAAAGAGCUUGGCGGUACCUUAAACCCAAUUAGGGGAACCUGUUCUAUAAUCGAUAAUCCGCGCAGGACCUGCCUCUUUUUAAUUAGUCUGUAUACCGUCGUCGCCAGACAACUUUUAAGAAAAUAAUAGUUCUCUUCGAUAAAAUAUUUAUAGACGUCAGAUCAAGGUGCAGCCUAUAAAAGAGUAAGAAAUGGGUUACAAUUUUUAAUUUACAAUAUGAAUUCACUAUUGAAAAAAUUCUGAUGAAGGCGGACUUAAAAGUAAUUUUUGUAAGAACGCCAAAAUGAAUAAGGCUCUGAGGUGUGCACACAUCGCCCGUCGCUCUCGCUGAAAAGU